RNAcentral lists this ribosomal RNA (305 nucleotides) under uncultured bacterium. Its description in RNAcentral is "bacterial SSU rRNA". It matches the Rfam family "Bacterial small subunit ribosomal RNA", at positions 334 to 656 of the family's 1533-position model. The record is from RNAcentral.
GACCUACGGGGGGCAGCAGUGGGGAAUAUUGGGCAAUGGGCGCAAGCCUGACCCAGCAACGCCGCGUGAAGGAAGAAGGCUUUCGGGUUGUAAACUUCUUUUCUGGGGGACGAAGAAAGUGACGGUACCCCAGGAAUAAGCCACGGCUAACUACGUGCCAGCAGCCGCGGUAAUACGGAGGAUGCGAGCGUUAUCCGGAUUUAUUGGGUUUAAAGGGUGCGCAGGCGGGAGAUCAAGUCAGCGGUAAAAUGGCGGGGCUCAACCCCGGCCGGCCGUUGAAACUGGUUUUCUAGAGUUGGAGAGAA